Molecule: transfer RNA, 77 nt
Filed under: bacterium
Lineage: Bacteria
Description: tRNA-Arg
Rfam family: tRNA
About the family: Transfer RNA (tRNA) molecules are approximately 80 nucleotides in length. Their secondary structure includes four short double-helical elements and three loops (D, anti-codon, and T loops).
Source: RNAcentral
GCGUCCGUAGCUCAAUUGGAUAGAGCGUUGGCCUCCGGAGCCAAAGGUUUCGGGUUCGACUCCCGACGGGCGCACGA